RNAcentral lists this ribosomal RNA (391 nucleotides) under uncultured bacterium. RNAcentral's name for it is "bacterial SSU rRNA". It matches the Rfam family "Bacterial small subunit ribosomal RNA", at positions 28 to 420 of the family's 1533-position model. The record is from RNAcentral.
GACGAACGCUGGCGGCGUGCCUAACACAUGCAAGUCAACUUGACUGAAGGAGCAAUCUGACAGUAGAGUGGCGCAAGGGUGCGUAACGCGUAAGUAACUUGCCCAAGGUAAGGAAUAACGUCGAGAAAUCGGCGCUAAUACCUCAUAAUGCAGCGGAUCCGCAUGGAUAUGUUGUUAAAGGUUUACCGCCUUGGGAUAGGCUUGCGUCUGAUUAGCUAGUUGGUGUGGUAACGGCACACCAAGGCUACGAUCAGUAACUGGUCUGAGAGGAUGAUCAGUCACACUGGAACUGAGACACGGUCCAGACUCCUACGGGAGGCAGCAGUGAGGAAUAUUGGGCAAUGCUCGAAAGAGUGACCCAGCAACGCCGCGUGGAGGAUGAAGGUAUUCU